RNAcentral lists this ribosomal RNA (301 nucleotides) under uncultured bacterium. RNAcentral describes it as "partial 16S ribosomal RNA". It matches the Rfam family "Bacterial small subunit ribosomal RNA", at positions 509 to 808 of the family's 1533-position model. The record is from RNAcentral.
CAGCAGCCGCGGGAAUACGUAGGUGGCAAGCGUUGUCCGGAAUUAUUGGGCGUAAAGGGCUCGCAGGUGGUCUAAUAAGUCUGAUGUGAAAGCCCACGGCUCAACCGUGGAGGGUCAUUGGAAACUGUUAACUUGAGUGCAGGAGAGAAAAGUGGAAUUCCUAGUGUAGCGGUGAAAUGCGUAGAGAUUAGGAGGAACACCAGUGGCGAAGGCGGCUUUUUGGCCUGUAACUGACACUGGGGCGCGAAAGCGUGGGGAGCAAACAGGAUUAGAUACCCCAGUAGUCCCUGUCUCUUAUACA